Molecule: ribosomal RNA, 253 nt
Filed under: uncultured bacterium
Lineage: Bacteria
Description: partial 16S ribosomal RNA
Rfam family: Bacterial small subunit ribosomal RNA
Source: RNAcentral
UACGAAGGGUGCAAGCGUUACUCGGAAUUACUGGGCGUAAAGCGUGCGUAGGUGGUUUGUUAAGUCUGAUGUGAAAGCCCUGGGCUCAACCUGGGAAUUGCAUUGGGUACUGGCAGGCUAGAGUGCGGUAGAGGGUAGUGGAAUUCCCGGUGUAGCAGUGAAAUGCGUAGAGAUCGGGAGGAACAUCUGUGGCGAAGGCGACUACCUGGACCAGCACUGACACUGAGGCACGAAAGCGUGGGGAGCAAACAGG